This 226-nucleotide ribosomal RNA is filed under the name uncultured bacterium. RNAcentral describes it as "partial 16S ribosomal RNA". It matches the Rfam family "Bacterial small subunit ribosomal RNA", at positions 15 to 236 of the family's 1533-position model. The record is from RNAcentral.
GAUCAUGGCUCAGAUUGAACGCUGGCGGCAUGCUUUACACAUGCAAGUCGGACGGCAGCACAGAGAAGCUUGCUUCUUGGGUGGCGAGUGGCGAACGGGUGAGUAACAUAUCGGAACGUACCGAGCAGUGGGGGAUAACUAAUCGAAAGAUUAGCUAAUACCGCAUAUUUUCUUGAGGAAGAAAGCAGGGGACCAUUUGGCCUUGCGCUGUUUGAGCGGCCGAUAU